CAGGUGCUGCAUGGCUGUCGUCAGCUCGUGUCGUGAGAUGUUGGGUUAAGUCCCGUAACGAGCGCAACCCUUGUCCUUAGUUACCAGCACGUUAGUGGUGGGCACUCUAAGGAGACUGCCGGUGACAAACCGGAGGAAGGUGGGGAUGACGUCAAGUCAUCACUGGCCCUUACGGGCCUGGGCUACACACGUGCUACAAUGGUCGGUACAAAGGGUUGCCAAGCCGCGAGGUGGAGCUAAUCCCAUAAAACCGAUCGUAGUCCGGAUCGCAGUCUGCAACUCGACUGCGUGAAGUCGGAAUCGCUAGUAAUCGUGAAUCAGAAUGUCACGGUGAAUACGUUCCCGGGCCUU
RNAcentral lists this ribosomal RNA (351 nucleotides) under uncultured Pseudomonas sp. Its description in RNAcentral is "bacterial SSU rRNA". It matches the Rfam family "Bacterial small subunit ribosomal RNA", at positions 1035 to 1382 of the family's 1533-position model. The record is from RNAcentral. Lineage: Bacteria; Pseudomonadati; Pseudomonadota; Gammaproteobacteria; Pseudomonadales; Pseudomonadaceae.